Molecule: transfer RNA, 66 nt
Filed under: Bathygobius coalitus (whitespotted frillgoby)
Lineage: Eukaryota; Metazoa; Chordata; Actinopteri; Gobiiformes; Gobiidae
Description: tRNA-Cys
Source: RNAcentral
AGCCUUGAGGUGUUACACACGUUAGAUUGCAAAUCUUAAGUCGCAGAUUGACGUCUGCCGGGGCUU